Molecule: long non-coding RNA, 199 nt
Filed under: Malus domestica (apple)
Lineage: Eukaryota; Viridiplantae; Streptophyta; Magnoliopsida; Rosales; Rosaceae
Description: long non-coding RNA (MDOM_LNC020245)
Source: RNAcentral
GUUUAUUGUAAACUAUAAAGUGAAUAGAUUCGAUCAUGCUUUAAACGAAAUGAUUGACAUGUGCUGUAAAUUUGAAAAAGGUUUCAAAAAGGACAGUGGGAGUGAGAAUGCAAUUACAAGGAAAAAGUUGCAUAAGAAGAAGGCAAAGAAAUCCAAAGGAACAUGCUUUCAUUGUGGAAAGGAUGAACGUUGGAAGAAG